CCGGGAGGAGCCGCGGCGCCUGCUCUACCGGGCGUUGCAGGCCCUGGUUUUUACUCCUGAAAAAGGCAACUUGUUUAUGUGAAUGAGACGCCAGCGCUGAGCAACCCCAAGCUGAGCAACCCCAAGGCAGCUGUGUGCUCUUUCGCGGCGGCGGGGCUUUGCCCAGAGCAUGCAUCAUCGCGGCCACCCUGCUUAGCGGUUCUUCUCCUGCAGGAUAGCUGUCAAUAGGUUUCUGCGUUCAGAAGCGUUUUCCACAUGGCAUCUGUGAUACAAGUGAAAACUAGCUGCAAUAAUGAAGAAAACAUCUGUUCAAAGGAAUAAAUAAUCCGGUCAAAAAGUGUGCUAUU
Long non-coding RNA from Canis lupus familiaris (dog), 347 nucleotides. RefSeq lists it as uncharacterized. The record is from RefSeq and is a predicted model, not a curated record. The transcript has 2 exons. NCBI's taxonomy places the organism in Eukaryota, Metazoa, Chordata, Mammalia, Carnivora, Canidae.